Molecule: ribosomal RNA, 388 nt
Filed under: Pedinellales sp.
Lineage: Eukaryota; Dictyochophyceae; Pedinellales
Description: partial small subunit ribosomal RNA
Rfam family: Eukaryotic small subunit ribosomal RNA
Source: RNAcentral
AUUCCAGCUCCAAUAGCGUAUAUUAAUGUUGUUGCAGUUAAAAAGCUCGUAGUUGGAUUUCUGGUCGGAACGCCGGUCCGGCUCCGCAAGGGGUCGUGUAUUGGUUUCUCCUGCCAUCCUCAGGGGGAGCUGCGCUGGUAUUCAUUUAUCGGCGUGGUUACGCCUGUCGUUUACUGUGAACAAAUUAGAGUGUUCAAAGCAAGGUGUACUUGAAUACAUUAGCAUGGAAUAAUAAGAUAGGACUUUGGUUCUAUUUUGUUGGUUGGAGGCCAAGGUAAUGAUUAAUAGGGAUAGUUGGGGGUAUUCAUAUAUAAUUGUCAGAGGUGAAAUUCUUGGAUUUAUGAAAGAUGAACUUAUGCGAAAGCAUUUACCAAGGAUGUUUUCAUCG